GACGAACGCUGGCGGCGUGCUUAACACAUGCAAGUCGAACGAAGCUUGAUUACGGAUUCUUCGGUUGAAGUAUGAUAUGACUGAGUGGCGGGCGGGUGAGUAACACGUGAGUAACCUGCCCUUCAGAGGGGGAUAGCGUUUGGAAACGAACGGUAAUACCGCAUAAUGUAUUUUGACCGCAUGAUCGACAUACCAAAGAUUUAUCGCCGAAGGAUGGACUGGCGAAUGAUUAGGUAGUUGGUGGGGUAACGGCCGACCACGCCGACGAUCAGUAGCCGUGGAGCGAGGACGCGCGGCCACAUUGUGACUGAGGCACGGCCCAGACUCCUACGGGAGGCAGCAGUGGGGAAUAUUGCACAAUGGGCGCAAGCCUGAUGCAGCAACGCCGCGUGAAGGAAGUCUGUUGUCGGAGUGUAAACUUCUGUUCUUAGUGAAGAAUAAUGACGGUAGCUAAGGAGCAAGCCACGGCUAACUACGUG
RNAcentral lists this ribosomal RNA (479 nucleotides) under uncultured bacterium. Its description in RNAcentral is "partial 16S ribosomal RNA". It matches the Rfam family "Bacterial small subunit ribosomal RNA", at positions 28 to 507 of the family's 1533-position model. The record is from RNAcentral.